This is a long non-coding RNA of Magnolia sinica, 269 nucleotides long. RefSeq lists it as uncharacterized. Lineage: Eukaryota; Viridiplantae; Streptophyta; Magnoliopsida; Magnoliales; Magnoliaceae. The transcript has 2 exons. The record is from RefSeq and is a predicted model, not a curated record.
CCUGUUUACAUGUUACCACAUUCACGCAUUUGUUCGAUGAUAGCAAAAGGGGUGGGUAGUUCAAUUGCAAGAAGAGAAUCAUUGCAUGAUUUUAAUCAAUUGUGCCUGAAUUUAGGCCUACAAGCACUUCAGCCUUUUGACGCCACUCAUGCUACGAGUAUACCAUAUAGAGGAUUUGUUUUUAUUUAUUUAUUCGAAACCAUUUUUAAUUUAUUGUAAUAAAUAUUAUAUUUUUUUAUUGUGAAGUAAUAUAAAUUUUGUUGAAUAUU